UAGGUAGUUGGCUAGGAGAUAGAAACAGGGAGACUGUCAGCGACAUCUUGUUCAAAAGGUCAGGUCUUUCUGUGUCUGUCAGCGCCAUCUUGUUCAAAAGGUCAGGUCUUUCUGUGUCUGUCAGCGCCAUCUUGUUCAAAAGGUCAGGUCUUUCUGUGUCUGUCAGCGCCAUCUUGUUCAAAAGGUCAGGUCUUUCUGUGUCUGUCAGCGCCAUCUUGUUCAAAAGGUCAGGUCUUUCUGUGUCUGUCAGCGCCAUCUUGUUCAAAAGGUCAGGUCUUUCUGUGUCUGUCAGCGCCAUCUUGUUCAAAAGGUCAGGUCUUUCUGUGUCUGUCAGCGCCAUCUUGUUCAAAAGGUCAGGUCUUUCUGUGUCUGUCAGCGCCAUCUUGUUCAAAAGGUCAGGUCUUUCUGUGUCUGUCAGCGCCAUCUUGUUCAAAAGGUCAGGUCUUUCUGUGUCUGUCAGCGCCAUCUUGUUCAAAAGGUCAGGUCUUUCUGUGUCUGUCAGCGCCAUCUUGUUCAAAA
Molecule: long non-coding RNA, 519 nt
Organism: Oncorhynchus keta (chum salmon)
Lineage: Eukaryota; Metazoa; Chordata; Actinopteri; Salmoniformes; Salmonidae
Exons: 3
Source: RefSeq, a predicted model, not a curated record